CAUGCCUAACANAUGCAAGUCGAACGGAACUUGUUGAAUGAAGUUUUCGGAUGGAUUUCAGCAAGUUUAGUGGCGGACGGGUGAGUAACGCGUGAGCAACCUGCCUUUCGAGAGGGGACAACAGUUGGAAACGACUGCUAACACCGCAUAACAUGGCGAGACCGCAUGACCUUGCCAUCAAAAAUUUAUUGGUAUGAGAUGGGCCCGCGUCUGAUUAGCUAGUUGGUGAGGUAACGGCCCACCAAGGCGACGAUCAGUAGCCGGCCUGAGAGGGUGACCGGCCACAUUGGGACUGAGACACGGCCCAAACUCCUACGGGAGGCAGCAGUGGGGAAUAUUGGACAAUGGGGGAAACCCUGAUCCAGCAACGCCGCGUGAGUGAAGAAGUAUUUCGGUAUGUAAAGCUCUAUCAGCAGGGAAGAAAAUGACGGUACCUGACUAAGAAGCCCCGGCUAACUACGUG
Molecule: ribosomal RNA, 463 nt
Filed under: uncultured bacterium
Lineage: Bacteria
Description: bacterial SSU rRNA
Rfam family: Bacterial small subunit ribosomal RNA
Source: RNAcentral